This 1305-nucleotide ribosomal RNA is filed under the name Streptococcus pneumoniae. RNAcentral's name for it is "bacterial SSU rRNA". The stretch from base 1 to 962 matches the Rfam family "Bacterial small subunit ribosomal RNA". Lineage: Bacteria; Bacillati; Bacillota; Bacilli; Lactobacillales; Streptococcaceae. The record is from RNAcentral.
AGAGUUUGAUCCUGGCUCAGGACGAACGCUGGCGGCGUGCCUAAUACAUGCAAGUAGAACGCUGAAGGAGGAGCUUGCUUCUCUGGAUGAGUUGCGAACGGGUGAGUAACGCGUAGGUAACCUGCCUGGUAGCGGGGGAUAACUAUUGGAAACGAUAGCUAAUACCGCAUAAGAGUGGAUGUUGCAUGACAUUUGCUUAAAAGGUGCACUUGCAUCACUACCAGAUGGACCUGCGUUGUAUUAGCUAGUUGGUGGGGUAACGGCUCACCAAGGCGACGAUACAUAGCCGACCUGAGAGGGUGAUCGGCCACACUGGGACUGAGACACGGCCCAGACUCCUACGGGAGGCAGCAGUAGGGAAUCUUCGGCAAUGGACGGAAGUCUGACCGAGCAACGCCGCGUGAGUGAAGAAGGUUUUCGGAUCGUAAAGCUCUGUUGUAAGAGAAGAACGAGUGUGAGAGUGGAAAGUUCACACUGUGACGGUAUCUUACCAGAAAGGGACGGCUAACUACGUGCCAGCAGCCGCGGUAAUACGUAGGUCCCGAGCGUUGUCCGGAUUUAUUGGGCGUAAAGCGAGCGCAGGCGGUUAGAUAAGUCUGAAGUUAAAGGCUGUGGCUUAACCAUAGUAGGCUUUGGAAACUGUUUAACUUGAGUGCAAGAGGGGAGAGUGGAAUUCCAUGUGUAGCGGUGAAAUGCGUAGAUAUAUGGAGGAACACCGGUGGCGAAAGCGGCUCUCUGGCUUGUAACUGACGCUGAGGCUCGAAAGCGUGGGGAGCAAACAGGAUUAGAUACCCUGGUAGUCCACGCUGUAAACGAUGAGUGCUAGGUGUUAGACCCUUUCCGGGGUUUAGUGCCGUAGCUAACGCAUUAAGCACUCCGCCUGGGGAGUACGACCGCAAGGUUGAAACUCAAAGGAAUUGACGGGGGCCCGCACAAGCGGUNUUCCAAGGAUUUUCUCAAGUUGGAGGAAGGGGACAACAUCUCUACUUUCCCUUCAAGAAUCCUUCCAAAUUAUGUUUAUGUUGGUAAUUAACGGCUGCGGUUUUGUCUUUCUCAAAGACAGUCUUGGUAAGGUCAAUAUGAUUAAUAGCUACGAUUGCGACGGUGUAGUAAAUGAUAUCAGCCAGUUCUCUGGCAAGUUCCUCGUUCGAAUCCUAUCCCUUCUUUUCGACCAGAGCGCCUAUUCAAAACCUCGGCUACUUCUCCGACUUCCUCCACUAACUUCAUAAAGAGACCUUCAUCAGUCCGAGACUGCUGUUAAUGUUCGAUUAAGUAGUCUUGGAAUUGCCUAAACGUUCAAUCUUU